AUUCAACGCUGGCGGCAUGCCUUACACAUGCAAGUCGAACGGUAACGGGCCUUCAGGUGCCGACGAGUGGCGAACGGGCGUGUAAUACAGCGGAACGUGCCCGACCGUGGGGGAUAAUGAGGCUAAAGCUUUGCUAAUACCGCAUACGAUCUACGGAUGAAAGCAGGGGACCGCAAGGCCUUGCGCGGACCCACCGGCCGAUGGCAGAUUAGGUAGCUGGUGGGAUAAAAGCUUACCAAGCCGACGAUCUGUACCUGGUCUGAGAGGAUGAUCAGCCACAGUGGGGCUGAGAGACGAGCCAGACUCCAAGGGGAGGCAGCAGUGGGAAAUUUUGGACAAUGUGCGCAGGCCUGAUCGAGCCAUGCCGCGUGCAGGAUGAAGGCCUGCGGGUUGUAAACUGGUUUUGUACGGAACGAAAGGCAUUCUUUUAAUACAGGAGAGUCAUGACGGUACCGUAAGAAUAAGAACCGGCUAACUACGU
RNAcentral lists this ribosomal RNA (481 nucleotides) under uncultured bacterium. RNAcentral's name for it is "partial 16S ribosomal RNA". It matches the Rfam family "Bacterial small subunit ribosomal RNA", at positions 32 to 506 of the family's 1533-position model. The record is from RNAcentral.